ACUUUUAAAGCUUUUAUUAAGACUUAUUGUGUCGAUAAAUGCCGGUAACCAAAUUAAAUAUUACGUGCAUUAUGAAGAACUAUUUCAUGUUUUACAUAAAACUCAUUUAACAAUUUGGCAUGGUAAUCGUAGUAGGAUGAAACACACGCUAAAUAGUAAAUAUACAAAUAUAACAAGGGAAACAAUUGUGUUGUAUUUGAACUUACGACAAAUAAAGGGCAGUACAGUUAAAAAAAAGUCUUAGUGGUUAAACCUAUUAUGUCAAAAGAGAUGAAUUCACGUUUUCCGGUAGACUUAAUUGAUAUGCAAGCAUUGCUUGAUGGUAAUUAUAAAUUGAUUUUAGUCUACCAAGACCAUUUUAAAAAAAUUGUAAACUUACGUCCUUUAACUCACUGAUGUACUGAGAACGUUCCCUAUGUGUAACUGGAUAUCUUAACAACUUUUGGUGCUCUAGCAAUAUUAUAAAAUAACAAUGACAGAGAAUUCACACACAAGAUGUAGAAUGACUUGAAAAUAGUACAUGGAAAACCACGCCAAUCUCAAAGUCAAGGCUCUGUAGAAUGUGUUAGCCAGGACAUCAAGAA
This is a non-coding RNA of Cinara cedri, 584 nucleotides long. NCBI's taxonomy places the organism in Eukaryota, Metazoa, Arthropoda, Insecta, Hemiptera, Aphididae. The record is from the annotation of a GenBank genome assembly.